GGAUAACUGUGGUAAUUCUAGAGCUAAUACAUGCAAACAGAGUCCCGACCAGAAAUGGAAGGGAUGCUUUUAUUAGAUCAAAACCAAUCGGCCGGCUCGUCCGGUCCGUUUGCUUUGGUGACUCUGGAUAACUUUGAGCUGAUCGCACGGUCCUCGUACCGGCGACGCAUCUUUCAAAUGUCUGCCUUAUCAACUGUCGAUGGUAGGUUCUGCGCCUACCAUGGUUGUAACGGGUAACGGGGAAUCAGGGUUCGAUUCCGGAGAGGGAGCCUGAGAAACGGCUACCACAUCCAAGGAAGGCAGCAGGCGCGCAAAUUACCCACUCCCGGCACGGGGAGGUAGUGACGAAAAAUAACGAUACGGGACUCAUCCGAGGCCCCGUAAUCGGAAUGAGUACACUUUAAACCCUUUAACGAGUAUCCAUUGGAGGGCAAGUCUGGUGCCAGCAGCCGCGGUAAUUCCAGCUCCAAUAGCGUAUAUUAAAGUUGUUGCGGUUAAAAAGCUCGUAGUUGGACUUGUGUCCCACGCUGUCGGUUCACCGUUCGUCGGUGUUUAACUGGCAUGCCCGUGUGGACGUCCUGCCGGUGGAUGCGGUCGGCCGUGGGCCUCUGGUCUGCGCGUCGGCGGUCCGAUGCAAUCCUACCGCGGUGCUCUUCACCGAGUGUCGAGGUGGGCCGGCACGUUUACUUUGAACAAAUUAGAGUGCUCAAAGCAGGCAGUGGUUCGCCUGAAUAUUGUGUGCAUGGAAUAAUGGAAUAGGACCUCGGUUCUAUUUUGUUGGUUUUCGGAACUUGAGGUAAUGAUUAAUAGGGACAGACGGGGGCAUUCGUAUUGCGACGUUAGAGGUGAAAUUCUUGGAUCGUCGCAAGACGAACCUAAGCGAAAGCAUUUGCCAUGAGUGUUUUCAUUAAUCAAGAACGAAAGUUAGAGGUUCGAAGGCGAUCAGAUACCGCCCUAGUUCUAACCAUAAACGAUGCCAGCUAGCGAUCCGCCGAAGUUCCUCCGAUGACUCGGCGGGCAGCUUCCGGGAAACCAAAGCUUUUGGGUUCCGGGGGAAGUAUGGUUGCAAAGCUGAAACUUAAAGGAAUUGACGGAAGGGCACCACCAGGAGUGGAGCCUGCGGCUUAAUUUGACUCAACACGGGAAACCUCACCAGGCCCGGACACCGGAAGGAUUGACAGAUUGAGAGCUCUUUCUUGAUUCGGUGGGUGGUGGUGCAUGGCCGUUCUUAGUUGGUGGAGCGAUUUGUCUGGUUAAUUCCGAUAACGA
RNAcentral lists this ribosomal RNA (1269 nucleotides) under Centrophasma hadrillum. RNAcentral describes it as "SSU rRNA". It matches the Rfam family "Eukaryotic small subunit ribosomal RNA", at positions 141 to 1334 of the family's 1831-position model. Lineage: Eukaryota; Metazoa; Arthropoda; Insecta; Phasmatodea; Lonchodidae. The record is from RNAcentral.